Molecule: long non-coding RNA, 1663 nt
Organism: Gavialis gangeticus (Gharial)
Lineage: Eukaryota; Metazoa; Chordata; Crocodylia; Gavialidae
Exons: 3
Source: RefSeq, a predicted model, not a curated record
CAGGAUCACAGAAAGAUAAACGUCCAGUUGACUCUUAAAGGAAUCCAGAGUACACACUUAGGUUUUGGGAGCAGCAGUGUCCAGUGUUGUCACAAAUAGGAGCCUUAAUGCAUCAGCACUAGUUUCUGCUGCAGUCAAUAGGAGUCUUUCCACUGACUUCAGAGAAAGCUGGACUGAGCUCCUGAGAAACAUCACUGGCCUGUUGGGACUGAAGGCAUGGAAAAAGUUAAACAUAUGUGUGUCUGCAAGAGCAGACCCUUGGAAUAAAAGCUGUUUGGAACAGGCACUGACUCGUCUUGGUUUGGACAAGCGCCUAGUAAACUCUGGAUGCAAUCACUAGUUAAUGUAAACAUAGUAUCUAUUUUUUGGGUGGACAGCUGUGUCAGGCACGUGAAGAGAUUUUCCAGGGACUUUUCUAGAAUUUUUUCUCCCCUCACAUGUGAUUAUCAUGUGUGUGAGACUAAUCAUAUGUGACUAUGCCGUUAUAUAUUUUAAAUGUAAAUAUGCUAGACCCAAAGCUGGACUUAUGGACCAUAUAGCACAUGCCAUUGCUGAACAAUCAAGUGCAACAGUGUGCCUAGAGGUAUGGAAAGGCUCAUUUCAAUGGUUCUUGACUUUUUUCAAAGUGGCUUAAAUAUAAGGACUACCUCCCUCCCCCCACAAUCAGGUAGAGGAGCUGCAAGGCAGUUAUAACUUAUGUCAGCUUGUACCUACCCCUUUCUCCCUGUACCUCUUCCUUCUGCUUUCCUAUGCACUGAUCAUCACUCACUCCACCUUAUACUGUAUGUUGUCCUUUCACUGCAUAGUUAGUUUAUAAAGGUGCAUAUCUACCCUGCCUUCAUCUUGUAACCCCUACAUAAGAUGAUCAGAGUGAUAGCCUUCCCACCUACAGAUGCUCCCAGCAUGUCCUCUACAGCUAUAGAACUGGAUAAAGACUGCACGGUCUGGAUGCCAUACUAUUUGGGGUUUCCCAUGCACUAGGGAAAUCCCUAGCUGUCCAGUUCAGGCACCAUUAGGGCUGCUGUGUGUUGCAGGACCAUCAAAAACCAAUUUAUUCUUCAUAUUUUCAGUAGAUAUUUUACAUAUGGAAAGGGAUGUGUUGCCCUCAGCAGGAAACCUGAAUGAGGUAUAAUGCUAUACCAGGAUAACUGGAAAUGAUACAAUUUCAGGAGAACUCAAAAUAGCAACAACUAAAGUAAGUUCAGUGUAAAUUACUUUUGGUUUAAUGGAAGCAAUGGGCACAGGACAAAGUGGAAACACAGACUUCAAACUGGUUUUCAAGAAAAAGUGUCUCCAUUUCAAGUACUAUUUGAAGAGAGAAGAACACUAAUAAAUGGCCUGAUACUCUAAAUGUGUACUCAUCUAAAACAGUCCCAUGUGGAUUUCUUGAAUGAGCAAGUUGUGCAGUGGGUAUAAAGCUACCAUUCAUAAUUGUAACCCUUCAUCAGAUGUGUCCGGUGCACAAUUAGAGAACAUUAUGAAUAAGAACCUUUUACUUGCAGAGGUGCUAACCCUGAUAAGAUAACAUGAGACGCAUCCACUUACAAAAAAUUAAGCUAGAAACAGUGUUAGUCUUUAUGUUUUCUGAUUGGAUACUGGACCUUUUCUGCCUGAUGAAGAGUAAAAUUGGCCUUGAAGACGUCCUUGAAGUGCUUUCUUUACC